Molecule: ribosomal RNA, 260 nt
Filed under: uncultured archaeon
Lineage: Archaea
Description: partial 16S ribosomal RNA
Rfam family: Archaeal small subunit ribosomal RNA
Source: RNAcentral
AGGGUGUAAACGCUGCGGGCUUGGUGUUGGGGGUCCUUUGAGGGCGCCCAGUGCCGGAGAGAAGUUGUUAAGCCUGCUGCUUGGGGAGUACGUCCGCAAGGAUGAAACUUAAAGGAAUUGGCGGGGGAGCACCGCAACGGGAGGAGCGUGCGGUUCAAUUGGAUUCAACGCCGGACAACUCACCAGGAGCGACGGUUACAUGAAGGCCAGGCUGAUGACCUUGCCUGAUUUCCGAGAGGUGGUGCAUGGCGUAGUCCGUG